GACGAACGCUGGCGGCGUGCUUAACACAUGCAAGUCGAACGGGCCCGCCCCUGUUUUUGGGGGUGGGUUGAGUGGCGAACGGGUGAGUAUCACGUGAGUAACCUGCCCCCUGCUCCUGGAUAACUGCUUGAAAGGGCGGCUAAUACGGGGUGUGCCGGCUGGUCCGCAUGGGCCUGGUCGGGAUAGUUUCAUCUUCGGGUGUUUCGGUGGGGGAUGGGCUCGCGGCCUAUCAGCUUGUUGGUGGGGGGAUGGCCCACCAAGGCGGUGACGGGUAGCCGGGGAGGGAGGGUGGGCGCCCAGACUGGGAGUGAGGGACGGGCCAGACUCCGGCGGGAGGCAGCGGUGGGGGGUAGUGAAGGAUGGGAGGAAGCCUGAUGCAGCGCCGUCGCGUGAGGGAUGGCGGCCUUCGGGUUGGGAACCUCUUUCUGCGGUGGUGAAGGCCCUGUCCGUUGCGGCGGGGUUGACGGUAGCCGGGGAUGAAGCGCCGGCUAACUACGUG
This 499-nucleotide ribosomal RNA is filed under the name uncultured bacterium. Its description in RNAcentral is "partial 16S ribosomal RNA". It matches the Rfam family "Bacterial small subunit ribosomal RNA", at positions 28 to 507 of the family's 1533-position model. The record is from RNAcentral.